Small nuclear RNA from Grammomys surdaster, 107 nucleotides. The record is from RefSeq and is a predicted model, not a curated record. Lineage: Eukaryota; Metazoa; Chordata; Mammalia; Rodentia; Muridae.
AUGCUUCCUUUGGCAGCACAUGUACAAAAAUUGGAACGAUAAAGAGAACACUAGCAUGGCCCCUACACAAGAAUAAUAUGCAAAUUCAUGAAGUGGUCCAUAUUUUU